Nomia melanderi (Alkali bee) is the source of this 1948-nucleotide non-coding RNA. The record is from RefSeq and is a predicted model, not a curated record. Lineage: Eukaryota; Metazoa; Arthropoda; Insecta; Hymenoptera; Halictidae.
AAAUAAUCCGAUUUGUUUAAUCGAUGACAGUCGAUCACUUACUGUCGUUCACUGAAAACGAGAAACGGAAAAUCAUGAAGUGGUUAGUGUUGCUUGCAUUCGUCGCCAUAGCUGCGGCAUGUUGGCCGCCACAGAAGGUAUUGGUGACGGUUAUGGCAGUGGUAUUCGAUCUCACAGUAGACGAUGUUCAAAAUUGCUUUAACACUUCGAGAAUAACAUUCGAGGAUCUAAUGUUUGCGGGCAACUCUACAACGAGUAAUCGCGGGCCAUCCGACAACAGAUUCUACAAGAUCUCUUGCUUUGCAGCAUGUUUCGCCCAUAAGCAGGGAAUCAUGGACGGCAUGAAGUUAAACGUGCCGAUGGUGAUAGACUAUUACGUAAGAAGGAAGGUAUCGAUGCCGUUGAAGAAACUGAAGAUGUUCCGCGAUGUAUUAAAUCUUUGCAAUGAAGAAGUGACGGAAACAAACGACGAGUGCAAUGCGAUCUACCAGCUCCAUGAAUGCAUUAAGAACAGGAAAGGCUUGCAUCUACGUCCAAUAAUUGCUGGUUUUCCUUUUUACCCAGAACCUUCCUUUCUUUAAUACAUGCCUUCUCGCAAUUCGUGUACGAAAACGUAUGUCAGACAAUUCAACUGGUCCUUGAUCUCAGUGUCAAAAUAAAUAAAAAAAGAAAUUGGGCAACGAAUUAUCUCAUUCCAGUUACUCAAUCUUUCCAACGUUAGACAAAUCAAUUUUCAUAUAAAUACGUUAUGGAAACUCGAAUAUCACGAUUCCAUAGAAAACUCCUUUAUGAAUUUUCGCUGAAAGCAAUUAUGACAAAUACAGAGGAGUUAACACUUUGCAGUCUAACGUUGCCAUACAUGCGGGAUCACAUUUUUAUUCGCUAGGUCGAACGUCACCGCGAAGGCUGCAAAACAUAAUUUCGUUAUCAACACCAUCAUUGGGUAUAUUUUCCUAUUUGGCAAUACUUUGUUCUUACUGCUGUGCCAUAAACUUUACAAACCAUAUUUCUUUGCUUCUCGGUUUACAUUAAUUGCAAUAAUUAACGACACCGGUAAAUAUGGUUGUAUAUGACGAAUAUAUUUAAGCCAGAUGGAAUUACAAUUGGAAAAGUUCUCGACCGCACAGAGUGGAAAUGAAAGAAAUAAGAAUUUAAUUCUGCAGCGGGGAAACAGUUCAAGAAAUUGUGACGCAGCCAUCGGUUUCUCAGCCUGCACGAUUGCCCUCGAUUGCUUCUUGUAAUCUUAUUUUAUCGCUUCAUUGAUCAAAUAGGAAUGCAAUAAAUUUUGUUGAAUAAAAAUAUUCCUUCUAAUUAUCUCAGUUUAAAUUGUAAUAAUUUGAAUUGGUCACAAAAAUAUAAUCUCCUCUUAAUUGUCCUUCACUAAAUUGUAAUGACACAAAACAAUCGAUUCAUUAAGGAAAGAAGCUAUUAAUAAAAGGUCAGGUUGUUAAUGAAUAUUCCAAACAAUAUGCGGUUUCCAAAAUGAUUUUGAUUUACCACUUGUAGCAGCUGUAAAUGUCCAUACAGCUUCAGAGGAAUAUCAGUCCUCGCGGUUAUCCCGAUAAUCGAUUCCAAAACAGAUGUGUUCCGCGCGAAAGCAUAAGCUACGUCGGAUCAUUUUCCUUCUGUUUAUUUAUAUAAAUAAACUGCAUACUCUUCACGCUCGAUUUAUCGUGCAAUAUGUGCUACAACGCGAAUGUAACCGCUCCGUGAUAUCAUUUCUUCAACUUUAACCUCUUGUGCAUGGGUAUAAAUAAUCCGAUCUGCUUCAUCGAUGACAGUCGAUCACUUACUGUCGUUCACUGAAAACGAGAAACGGAAAACCAUGAAGUGGCUGGUGUUGCUUGCAUUCCUCGCCAUAGCUGCGGCCGAAUUGUCGACAGAAGAGAGGACCGAUGUUUUUGUGAGAAAACUAUCCAGAAUGUUUGAUGUCACGGAGGAGGAUGUU